CGCGCCUCUUCCGCUGCAACAAGUGCGCGCACGCCGCGCACACCAUUAAUCAAGCAAGGGAACACGAGAAAUGGCACAACGGCCACACAUACGAAUGUCAACUUUGCGGACAAAAAUUCAGGAAGUCAACCUCGUACCUCACGCACAAACGCAAGAGGCACCCGACCGAACACGUGUGCCACAUCUGCGGCGAGAGCUUUGUGGGCAGGCACGGGUUGUUGAUGCACAAGAGCAAGACGCACAGGUGGGAUCAGCAGCCGCUAGUGAAGGAGGAGCCGACCCCCGAACGGUUCUGCGCGGAGUGUGACGUUCAGUUCGACACAACACACGCGUGGCAGCGGCACAUACUCACCUCUGUGAACCACACGCUAGGUGGCGACGGUUCCCAGUGCAAGAUCUGCCAUCAGAGGCUCUCGGGCGAGUCGAUGUCGGCACACAUGAGAGAA
Manduca sexta (tobacco hornworm) is the source of this 446-nucleotide long non-coding RNA. RefSeq lists it as uncharacterized. The transcript has 5 exons. The record is from RefSeq and is a predicted model, not a curated record. Lineage: Eukaryota; Metazoa; Arthropoda; Insecta; Lepidoptera; Sphingidae.